Molecule: long non-coding RNA, 191 nt
Organism: Haliotis rubra (blacklip abalone)
Lineage: Eukaryota; Metazoa; Mollusca; Gastropoda; Lepetellida; Haliotidae
Exons: 3
Source: RefSeq, a predicted model, not a curated record
CAGCCAGGUGUGUUAAUUGCACAUGUGAAAUUUGAAUUUCACUACACACGCUUGUUGAUUACCUCGCAGUUCUACCAGCAAGUGGUCCUCCUCGUUAAAAAUAGCGAAAAGUGACCACAAAAUAAUGAUCGUUUGUUAAACAACUUUUUUAUUUGGGUGUCCAAUAUUAUGAGACAUCAUCAGAGUUGGUC